RNAcentral lists this ribosomal RNA (225 nucleotides) under uncultured bacterium. RNAcentral describes it as "partial 16S ribosomal RNA". It matches the Rfam family "Bacterial small subunit ribosomal RNA", at positions 15 to 231 of the family's 1533-position model. The record is from RNAcentral.
GAUCAUGGCUCAGGAUGAACGCUAGCUACAGGCUUAACACAUGCAAGUCGAGGGGCAGCAUGGUCUUAGCUUGCUAAGGCCGAUGGCGACCGGCGCACGGGUGAGUAACACGUAUCCAACCUGCCGUCCACUCUUGGACAGCCUUCUGAAAGGAAGAUUAAUACAAGAUGGCAUCAUGAGUCCGCGUGUUCACAUGAUUAAAGGUAUUCCGGUAGACGAUGGGGA